CUUAUUCUUUGAGCCAUUUACUUGCAUUCCUUCUUUUGUGUUUGAAUUUAUUUUUAUUGAAUAUCAACUCACUUCACUAAAUCUCUUUAGUAUAUUUUUUUAGUGCACUAAUCUUUUAAAAUUUAAAAAAAGAUCCAAUUCAUCCCUCCUCUUAGUUUUCAUAUCUGAACAACAAGUGGUAUCAGAGCAUGGUGCUCUAGCUUUUGCUUGAUUUAACCAACAAGAGCUAAAAGUCUAUGGCAGCCCAAUUUGGCACAUCCCUAGCCGAGGGGUAAUCCACAAACCGACCUUCAGUU
Molecule: long non-coding RNA, 296 nt
Filed under: Elaeis guineensis (African oil palm)
Lineage: Eukaryota; Viridiplantae; Streptophyta; Magnoliopsida; Arecales; Arecaceae
Description: long non-coding RNA (EGUI_LNC079823)
Source: RNAcentral